Leopardus geoffroyi (Geoffroy's cat) is the source of this 917-nucleotide long non-coding RNA. RefSeq lists it as uncharacterized. NCBI's taxonomy places the organism in Eukaryota, Metazoa, Chordata, Mammalia, Carnivora, Felidae. The transcript has 3 exons. The record is from RefSeq and is a predicted model, not a curated record.
CGGGGUCUGGUGGUCACGCUGGCACCGCCUCUACCCGGCCGCAGCGCGUCUCUAGGCCAGGUCCCCCGAGAUCGGGGUCACCAAAACUCCCGCAGACCUUUUCCCCUGGGGCGACUCGGGGGGCCUGUUACCAGUAGUCACCACCCUGCCUCGACUCCCUCGGUGAAUCAGGGCCCUAGGGCAGCCCGGAAGUGAAGAUAUAAAGGAAGAUGGCAAGGGAAGCCCCAGCUCUGAGGAAUGAUUGGGCAAGAGCAGCCCUCCUUAGCAAACAUAACAUCCAUCUGCUAAAUGUUCCUUUAGAGUUUUUCUCCAGUGAAAAGCUGUGUGUUGGGUUUCAACUUCAGAUCUGUGCAAAUGACUAACACAAGAACCACAGCUGCAGAGAAGUUCAAGCUGUCAUAGCAUGGGGAACAUUCAGUUCAGAGGAAGUUAAGGUAUAUUUCUCUUUGACUACUCAUACAUCCAGUAACCCCUAAAAAGGGCAAGAAAGUCAAAGGCAAAGCGACCCCUGCUUCACUGAUACACAACUUGCAUACUGUACAUACUAGAACAAGGUCACAAUCUGAAAACAUUUAUAUUUGGCUUUAUAAUGACAUCAGUUCAUUCCCUAUUCUGCUCCAAAAUCUAAGGAAGUGUUUAUUUUACCUCUCUUGUAAUUAAAGGGUCCGUGAUGGUGCUUUUUCCCUAUUAAAGGCAUAGUUCAUCUCGAAGGUGAUAUGAAAUCGGUCUCUACUUUGUGACUUUUAAAUGGCAGUUCCUCUUUCUGCUUCGUAAGGUUUUUGUGGGCAGCCUAACAGGUGGACAAGUACAGUGAUGGGUAGAAAGAUAGCUAGAUAACUGAUAUAUAAGACAGUGUGAUAUGUGGAUAUUUUCUUUGUUUAAUAUGAAAUUUAUUGUCAAAUUGGUUUCCAUACAAC